RNAcentral lists this ribosomal RNA (2427 nucleotides) under human gut metagenome. Its description in RNAcentral is "bacterial LSU rRNA". It matches the Rfam family "Bacterial large subunit ribosomal RNA", at positions 14 to 2523 of the family's 2925-position model. The record is from RNAcentral.
AGAGCGCAAGGGGAAUGCCUUGGCAUCAGGAGCCGAAGAAGGACGUGACAAGCUGCGAAAAGCCUCGGGGAGGAGCAAAUAUCCAUUGAUCCGGGGAUAUCCGAAUGGGGCAACCCGGCUGGACAAUAUCCAGUCAUCCUGCGUUGAACAAAAUAGGCGUAGGAAGGGAACCGCCUGAACUGAAACAUCUAAGUAGGGCGAGGAAGAGACAUCAACCGAGAUUCCGCAAGUAGUGGCGAGCGAACGCGGAAGAGGCCAAACCGAGGGAUUUAUUCCUCGGGGUUGCGGACAGUCAUUUAGCGGAAGUUAUCUAGGAGAAGGGUCUGGGAAGGCCCGCCAUAGAGGGUGAGAGCCCCGUAUCCGAAAGAGAAGGCCGUGCGACUGAAUCCAGAGUACCGCGGGACACGUGAAACCCCGUGGGAAACAGGGGGGACCACCCUCCAAGCCUAAAUACUACCUGAUGACCGAUAGAGGAGCAGUACCGUGAGGGAAAGGUGAAAAGGACCCCGGGAGGGGAGUGAAAGAGAACCUGAAACCUUGUGCUUACAAGCACUCAAAGCACGUUAAAGUGUGAUGAGGUACUUUUUGUAGAACGGUCCGGCGAGUUAUUGUAUGCAGCAAGCUUAAGGUGUUCAGCACCGGAGGCGAAGCGAGAGCGAGUCUGAAUAGGGCGUAUGAAGUUGUAUGCAAUAGACCCGAAACCAGGUGACCUAUCCAUGGGCAGGUUGAAGUGGGGGUAAAACCCCAUGGAGGACCGAACCGACCCCCGUUGCAAUGGUGGCGGAUGACCUGUGGAUAGCGGAGAAAUUCUAAUCGAACUUGGAGAUAGCUGGUUCUCCCCGAAAUAGCUUUAGGGCUAGCGUUGAUUUAGAUUACCGGAGGUAAAGCACUGAAUGGGCUAGGGGCUGAUAAAGUUACUGAACCCUAUCAAACUCUGAAUGCCGGAUAAUUGAUGAUCAGCAGUCAGUCUACGUGAGAUAAGUCUCGUGGACAAAAGGGAAACAGCCCAGACCCACAGCUAAGGUCCCAAAGAUACGCUAAGUGGAAAACGAUGUGGAAUUGCGAAAACAACCAGGAUGUUGGCUUAGAAGCAGCCACUCAUUAAAAGAGUGCGUAAUAGCUCACUGGUCGAGUGACUCUGCGCGGAAAAUAUAACGGGGCUAAGCGUAACACCGAAGCUUGGGCUGCACAGCAAUGUGCGGGGUAGGGGAGCGUCGAAUAUGGGGUGAAGUCGCAGCGGAAGCAGCGGUGGACUGUAUUCGAGUGAGAAUGCCGGAAUGAGUAGCGAGAAUUAUGUGGGAAUCAUAAUGGCCGAAAAUCUAAGGUUUCUUGGGGAAGGUUCGUCCGCCCAAGGUAAGCCGGGAGCUAAGGCGAGGCCGAGAGGCGUAGUCGAUGCACAUACGGUUGAAAUUCCGUAGCCACCGAAACUUAAGCUAGAAGGACACUUGGAGCUAUCCAGACCCGGGCGUUGGUUGACCCGGGCGAAAGGGACCGAAAAUAAGUAGGGAAGCUGGAGAAUGACGAGGCGAGAAAAGUUCUAGUGUAUGCUAAGGUGCCCGUACCGCAAACCGACACAGGUAGAUGAGGAGAGAAUCCUAAGGCCAACGGGAGAAGGGUUGUUAAGGAACUCGGCAAAAUUACCCCGUAACUUCGGGAUAAGGGGAGCUCCCUAAGGGGAGCCGCAGAGAAUAGGCCCAAGCGACUGUUUACCAAAAACACAGGUCUAUGCUAAAUCGAAAGAUGACGUAUAUGGGCUGACGCCUGCCCGGUGCUGGAAGGUUAAGAGGAGAGCUUAGCGCAAGCGAAGGUUUGAAUUGAAGCCCCAGUAAACGGCGGCCGUAACUAUAACGGUCCUAAGGUAGCGAAAUUCCUUGUCAGGUAAGUUCUGACCCGCACGAAUGGCGUAAUGACUUGGGCACUGUCUCAACUGCAAAUCCGGCGAAGUUGUAGUGCGAGUGAAGAUGCUCGCUACCCGCGAUUGGACGGAAAGACCCCGUAGAGCUUUACUGCAGCUUAGCAUUGAAUUCCGGUAUUGUCUGUACAGGAUAGGUGGGAGACUGGGAAACUAGGGCGUCAGCCUUAGUGGAGUCAACCUUGGGAUACCACCCUGACAGUACUGGGGUUCUAACAGGACGCCAUGAAUCUGGUGACUGGACAUUGUUAGGUGGGCAGUUUGACUGGGGCGGUCGCCUCCUAAAAAGUAACGGAGGCGCCCAAAGGUUCCCUCAGAACGGUCGGAAAUCGUUCGUAGAGUGCAAAGGCAGAAGGGAGCCUGACUGCGAGACCUACAAGUCGAGCAGGGACGAAAGUCGGGCUUAGUGAUCCGGUGGUACCUCGUGGGAGGGCCAUCGCUCAACGGAUAAAAGCUACCUCGGGGAUAACAGGCUGAUCUCCCCCAAGAGUCCACAUCGACGGGGAGGUUUGGCA